This is a long non-coding RNA of Cuculus canorus (common cuckoo), 749 nucleotides long. RefSeq lists it as uncharacterized. The record is from RefSeq and is a predicted model, not a curated record. NCBI's taxonomy places the organism in Eukaryota, Metazoa, Chordata, Aves, Cuculiformes, Cuculidae. The transcript has 4 exons.
UUGGAGUGACUCGGUGGUGCUGCCGCGUUGCUUGGUGGUCUAGGACACAGGGCUUUCCUUACCUGACAAGAGUUCAUUUGUCUCAGAAGGAGCAGGAGGCAGCAACCCUGACUUCCUGCUUCUGGGCCACGUCCAGAGAAAAGCAAGAAAGCUCUUUGUGAAGGGUCUGGAGCACAAGUCUUACGAGGAGUAGCUGAGGAAAUUGGGGCUGUUUAGUUUGGAAAAAAAAGGAGGCUGAGGGGGGACCUCAUCGCUCUCUGCAGCUCCUGGAAAGGAGGUUGGAGCGAGAUGCAGCAAGGGAUUUUGCUGCUAUACAACCAACUGUAAAACCUCUGUACUAGCCCUGCAAAUAGCACACCUGGCUUGAGAAUCACCAACAAGGGAUAAUUAAAGAAAACUUGCUGGAUAGUUGUGAAAUUAUAGUACUACCAGAGAAAAUAUACCAAGACACCUACUCCACAUCAUCCCUGGAAGGGUCAGGUGUCAUACUGCUGAGAUUUUGGUGGUGUGCUCCAAAAGCAGUGGAAUAAAACCUGUGGAGCAGUGCAAUAUCUACUUUCCACCUGUAUCUAGAACUUCUUGGGCCACUGGACUCAUUACGCUACAGGAGGAGGUAGCACUGGGACAGCAGUGGCUCCAGUCACAACCUGCCCUGGAGAUGAGGGGAGCUUUCAGUGGGCAGGAAUUUGCAGGAGGCUAAAUGGACCAGAGACAGGAGCCAGUAUCGCAUGCCCCUCGUCAUCCCCAGU